This is a long non-coding RNA of Polypterus senegalus (gray bichir), 364 nucleotides long. RefSeq lists it as uncharacterized. NCBI's taxonomy places the organism in Eukaryota, Metazoa, Chordata, Cladistia, Polypteriformes, Polypteridae. The transcript is spliced from 3 exons. The record is from RefSeq and is a predicted model, not a curated record.
AGCAAGCAGCUUUUCAGUUAGUUUUUGUUCUUGGAUUUGAAGGAGAGCAGGACCAAGGGAAAGUGAGAAGAGACUGAACUUUCUUUUUUGUGUAAUUGAUAUCCAUUUUUUCCAGGGAGAGGCCAUCACAUAUUGUAGAAUUUUGACUAACUUGCACCAGUGACCUGAGCGGAUGUCAACCUACUAAAAGAGGGAAAUAUACAAAAUGUACAAGCUGAAGUAACCUCUCUCAAGGUAAAUUUGAAAAAGGAGGCUAACCCACAGUUGAAGGUCUGUAACAGGCAGCAUGGACAGCACUAGGUGCAAUGAAGGGGCUGGAUGUGGCACCAGUUCAUCACAGACAUCCGAAAAUGAGUACAGUUAU